GUGUGUUUGGAUGGGGGAAAAAGUGAGGGAAUUUAAAUAAAAAUAAGGAUUUCCCAAUUUCUUAGGACUGUUUCCAGUGUUUGGAUACUUAUCCCAUGAAAUUAGCAAUUUCCACGGGAAAAAAAUCGUGGAAUUUGAGGGCGCAGAUUCCUGACUUGAAUUCCUCUCAAGGUAGGUGUCAUUCUUCAAUUCCAUCCCAGCCGGAAAUCUCAUUUUCCAAAGCGCCAAAAUCAAAACAUGCCGCGCUAAGUUUUGAUCCAAACAACUCUAUAUAAAGCCACAAAACUUGCAAGACCUGGACUCCAAAAUUUGCGAUUGUUCUCAUAUCUGAGUUUUCUUCUGCUGCUAAAAAGGUUUUGCAAUCGUUCUUGUCGUUGAGUUUUCUUCUGGGGACCCUCUCUACCACCGCUGAAAAGGUUUAGGACGUAAAAUUUUUUAUGGGAGGAAACAAAGUUCAAUACCUAUAAAUAAAGGCUGAAGGUCCCUUCUCUAUUCAUUAUAUACACACAUACAUUAUUCUCAAACCCCAUUACGAGAGUGUCUAAGGAGAUUGCAUAGAGAAGAAGAGCUUCAAUGGCCACAGGAGGUUAGUAAUUCUGUUCAUCAAUAUUUACUUAAGAUCUGAAUUGUAUUCAUUAUGUACUUGUGUUCUCAUAUUGAGUGCAAAGCUAUUUCAGUUUUUAACAUUUUGACAUG
Long non-coding RNA from Rosa chinensis, 696 nucleotides. RefSeq lists it as uncharacterized. The record is from RefSeq and is a predicted model, not a curated record. The transcript has 3 exons. Lineage: Eukaryota; Viridiplantae; Streptophyta; Magnoliopsida; Rosales; Rosaceae.